UAUAAUUUUUGAGUCUUCGUCUUAUUUAAACUUUUUUGUGAUUGAUAUUUUUGUUUUUAUUAGAUGAUAAAUCAUGAAUAGUAUUUUACGUGUGACUAAUUUUUUUUUCUAAUUUUCUAAAAAUUUUUCAAAUAAGACAGAUGGUCAAACGUUAGACACGAAAACCGAAG
Molecule: microRNA precursor, 170 nt
Filed under: Oryza brachyantha (malo sina)
Lineage: Eukaryota; Viridiplantae; Streptophyta; Magnoliopsida; Poales; Poaceae
Description: MIR812 microRNA precursor family
Rfam family: MIR812 microRNA precursor family
Source: Rfam by way of RNAcentral